AAACCAUGAUGAGGACACUCUAAGAUGAGAUCUUUGAAACGUUCCAUGCAUCAAGAGACUGAUUCAUUGGGUCGCUGGCGAAACUGAAGAUUGUCGUUCCUAAGCUU
Molecule: small nucleolar RNA, 107 nt
Filed under: Cephalotus follicularis
Lineage: Eukaryota; Viridiplantae; Streptophyta; Magnoliopsida; Oxalidales; Cephalotaceae
Description: Plant small nucleolar RNA R71
Rfam family: Plant small nucleolar RNA R71
About the family: R71 is a member of the C/D box family of snoRNAs containing the C (UGAUGA) and D (CUGA) box motifs.
Source: Rfam by way of RNAcentral